UGAACGCUGGCGGCGUGCCUAACACAUGCAAGUCGAGCGGAGAUACAUGUCUAAGAGAUUCGGUCGAAUAAUGUAUCUUAGCGGCGGAUGGGUGAGGAACGCGUGGAGAACCUGCCCUUCACAGGGGGAUAACAGCUGGAAACGGCUGUUAAUACCGCAUAUGCUCACAGGAUCGCAUGAUCCAGGGAGGAAAGCCGAGACGGUGAAGGAUGGCUCCGCGUCGGAUUAGCCAGUUGGCGGGGUAACGGCCCACCAAAGCGAUGAUCCGUAGCCGGCCUGAGAGGGCGACCGGCCACAUUGGGACUGAGACACGGCCCAAACUCCUACGGGAGGCAGCAGUGGGGGAUAUUGCACAAUGGGGGGAACCCUGAUGCAAGCGACGCCGCGUGAAGGAGGAAGUGCUUCGGCAUGUAAACUUCUAUCAGCAGGGAAGAAGAUGACGGUACCUGACUAAGAAGCCCCGGCUAACUACGUGCCAGCCGCCGC
RNAcentral lists this ribosomal RNA (486 nucleotides) under uncultured bacterium. RNAcentral's name for it is "bacterial SSU rRNA". It matches the Rfam family "Bacterial small subunit ribosomal RNA", at positions 30 to 518 of the family's 1533-position model. The record is from RNAcentral.